CUUGUUAUCUAAGAGGAAGAAGAAGGAAAAGAAGCUUAUGUAUGGAACAGAAACAGAAACAGAGUAUGUGUGUGUAUGUGUGUAUGCAUGGAGGGUUUUUUGCGAAUUUCACUAAGAAGGAUCAUCAGCUUGCACAUCAACUCAGAGGAGUGACAGCUCUCAAGGCAACCUUAUCUCUCUCUGAGGAUGAAGCCUCACACUUAACUAACGAUUGUAAACCCUAAUUGCAGGGAUUCCAAGGGAGGCUCAGAUUCACCCUUUUCUCAAACAAUAGGCAGAAGAGAAGAGCCUCACCAUGGCUGCGUUAUCAGUAUAUGUAGAAUGAAUCACAAUGGUAUUUUCAAACCAAUACUGUAACACCUUGCCAGUACUUAGGCUCUCCAACCUGUUGUUUGAUCUAAAAGCUG
RNAcentral lists this long non-coding RNA (407 nucleotides) under Medicago truncatula (barrel medic). RNAcentral describes it as "lncRNA gene47764". Lineage: Eukaryota; Viridiplantae; Streptophyta; Magnoliopsida; Fabales; Fabaceae. The record is from RNAcentral.